UGGGGAAUCUUCCGCAAUGGACGAAAGUCUGACGGAGCAACGCCGCGUGAGUGAUGACGGUCUUCGGAUUGUAAAGCUCUGUUAAUCGGGACGAAUGGUUUGUGUGCAAAUAGUGCAUAGACAUGACGGUACCGGAAUAGAAAGCCACGGCUAACUACGUGCCAGCAGCCGCGGUAAUACGUAGGUGGCAAGCGUUGUCCGGAAUUAUUGGGCGUAAAGCGCGCGCAGGCGGACUAGCCAGUCAGUCUUAAAAGUUCGGGGCUUAACCCCGUGAUGGGAUUGAAACUACUAGUCUAGAGUGUCGGAGAGGAAAGUGGAAUUCCUAGUGUAGCGGUGAAAUGCGUAGAGAUUAGGAAGAACACCGGUGGCGAAGGCGACUUUCUGGACGACAACUGACGCUUAGGCGCGAAAGCGUGGGGAGCAAACAGG
This 429-nucleotide ribosomal RNA is filed under the name Verrucomicrobiota bacterium. RNAcentral's name for it is "Verrucomicrobia bacterium partial 16S ribosomal RNA". It matches the Rfam family "Bacterial small subunit ribosomal RNA", at positions 355 to 776 of the family's 1533-position model. Lineage: Bacteria; Pseudomonadati; Verrucomicrobiota. The record is from RNAcentral.